RNAcentral lists this ribosomal RNA (482 nucleotides) under uncultured bacterium. RNAcentral's name for it is "partial 16S ribosomal RNA". It matches the Rfam family "Bacterial small subunit ribosomal RNA", at positions 30 to 507 of the family's 1533-position model. The record is from RNAcentral.
AUUGAACGCUGGCGGCAUGCCUUACACAUGCAAGUCGAACGGUAACAGGUCUUCGGAUGCUGACGAGUGGCGAACGGGUGAGUAAUACAUCGGAACGUGCCCGAUCGUGGGGGAUAACGGAGCGAAAGCUUUGCUAAUACCGCAUACGAUCUACGGAUGAAAGCAGGGGACCGCAAGGCCUUGCGCGGACGGAGCGGCCGAUGGCGGAUUAGGUAGUUGGUGGGAUAAAAGCUUACCAAGCCGACGAUCUGUAGCUGGUCUGAGAGGACGACCAGCCACACUGGGACUGAGACACGGCCCAGACUCCUACGGGAGGCAGCAGUGGGGAAUUUUGGACAAUGGGCGAAAGCCUGAUCCAGCCAUGCCGCGUGCAGGAUGAAGGCCUUCGGGUUGUAAACUGCUUUUGUACGGAACGAAAAGACUCUUUCUAAUAAAGAGGGUCCAUGACGGUACCGUAAGAAUAAGCACCGGCUAACUACGUG